CUUGCCAGCCGUUGAUGUAUGUGCGCGUGUGUGUUCCACUUCUGUGUUGUGGGUAGUCGCUGAAGCGCAUGCAUACUUUUCCGCCUUCGAUAUGAGUUCGGCGCUUCUUCCUCUUGCUUUGGACUCAAAAGAAAAGCUGGAGGCGACGUCGCGCUCACAAGUGCGCGUUUUGCCUCACCCACACCCUUCUCCAGAGAGACGCGUGGGCGGUACCCAGUGGCUGUUUCUCUUCACCAUUGUUUCCGCUUUUACAAAAAGUCAACGACACCAUCAACGGUGCGAAUGCCAAACAUGCGCUCCACCGCCGCCAAGAAGUCGUUCCAUCCACCUUUCAAGCAUACAGCUCCGUGCACCACUGCAGCAUCCACUCGCGCGGUAGCGCGACAGCUGCACCGCAGCCAGGCGUUUGCGCUACAUGCAGCGCCCUCCUUUGCAGAUGACCCCCGCGCACCAAAUACCUCGUCAACUCCUGCACCGCUCGCACCAGAUACGACUGUCGCGGCGUCCGAGCCCUUCACAGCGCCCAAGACGGCAUCGGAAUGCGACGCUGUCACCCCACCGCGAGGCGGGACAACCGAUCCUCUCCCCAGCACCGAGACUGACGUUGCCCUCGCGAGGUGUAGGCCUUCUCGCUGGCAGCUACAGCAGCGCAUCGACGCUCGCCGAGCCGAGCUCGAAGGCGCGAAAGCGUGGUCACUCGUAGCAGACACGCUGUAUUGGGUGAGAGUUUCGCAGGCGGCGCUGCAGCACUUGGCAGACUCUAAGGCAGCAGGCCAGGUGGAACAGGUAUUGUCAGAGCUUCACAUUGACCCGCUGACAGUGCUAUUCUCAGCGGAGGAAGGUAGCUUCUCUCACCAGUGAAUGAGCGCUCUUCUGUGCGCACGUGCACUCUUGCGGUUGACAGGGUGAGGCACCUGGGAUGCUCCCGCUAGCUGCACAUUACGAAAAGGCGAGCAACAAUACGAAGACAGAAAGCGAAACCAAAAAAAAGGAGCAAGAGGACGGCAUUUUGUCUUCACCUUGAUGGCUCGCACUUCGCCGAUGAUCGCACUGCUUCCCUUUUUUUUUUGCUUCAACGCUGCUGUUUGCCGCUUUUGGUAUCUUUUUUUUUUCUUACGCUGCGUCACGCACGAAAACAAUCAAGUAUGCAGAUCACUUGAGACAGGGCACCAGUCACAAGAGCGGCACACUAAUCGGCUGCGGUGCGACACUAACUGUGGCGUUGCAGUAUGCAUCCUGGCGAUGCACUUCGGUAAGGCCUCCGUUCAAAUCG
RNAcentral lists this unclassified non-coding RNA (1273 nucleotides) under Leishmania donovani. RNAcentral's name for it is "gene:LdHU3.35.4550(CDS-product:hypothetical_prote in_conserved)". Lineage: Eukaryota; Euglenozoa; Kinetoplastea; Trypanosomatida; Trypanosomatidae. The record is from RNAcentral.